Oncorhynchus tshawytscha (Chinook salmon) is the source of this 268-nucleotide long non-coding RNA. The record is from Ensembl. Lineage: Eukaryota; Metazoa; Chordata; Actinopteri; Salmoniformes; Salmonidae.
GGGGGUAGCAGCUUUAAUAUUGCGGGGAGAUUGUUACUUCCAUCAAUGUAAUUGUCUGCAUCAUUUCCAAACCCUGCUUUACUGACAUUACCAGAUACUGCAAACCAACAAAUAGAGAAAUACGUCUUCUGAUUGGCCAAGUGCACGGUUCUGACUGGUGGCUGACCUGUCUAUACUGUGCCCCUCUCUCUCCGCCCAUUGCUCGCUAUGACACAUGUGAGCGUGGAAAGGAAUCAGGUCAGUAGUGGAAGUACAGGUCAGUAGUACA